This 253-nucleotide ribosomal RNA is filed under the name uncultured bacterium. RNAcentral describes it as "partial 16S ribosomal RNA". It matches the Rfam family "Bacterial small subunit ribosomal RNA", at positions 526 to 779 of the family's 1533-position model. The record is from RNAcentral.
CGUAUGGUGCAAGCGUUAUCCGGAUUUACUGGGUGUAAAGGGAGCGCAGGCGGAAGGCUAAGUCUGAUGUGAAAGCCCGGGCUCAACCCCGGUACUGCAUUGGAAACUGGUCAUCUAGAGUGUCGGAGGGGUAAGUGGAAUUCCUAGUGUAGCGGUGAAAUGCGUAGAUAUUAGGAGGAACACCAGUGGCGAAGGCGGCUUACUGGACGAUAACUGACGCUGAGGCUCGAAAGCGUGGGGAGCAAACAGGAUU